GACGAACCGUGCGAACGUUGUUCGGAAUCACUGGGCUUAAAGGGCGCGUAGGCGGCUCGACAAGUCGGGGGUGAAAUCUUUCGGCUCAACCGGAAAAGGGCCUCCGAUACUGUCGAGCUCGAGGGAGGUAGGGGCGGACGGGAACUUCCGGUGGAGCGGUGAAAUGCGUUGAUAUCGGAAGGAACGCCGGUGGCGAAAGCGGUCCGCUGGCCCGUCUACUGACGCUGAGGCGCGAAAGCCAGGGGAGCCAAAGCGGGAUUAAGCAAACCC
RNAcentral lists this ribosomal RNA (270 nucleotides) under uncultured bacterium. Its description in RNAcentral is "partial 16S ribosomal RNA". It matches the Rfam family "Bacterial small subunit ribosomal RNA", at positions 524 to 788 of the family's 1533-position model. The record is from RNAcentral.